RNAcentral lists this ribosomal RNA (442 nucleotides) under uncultured bacterium. RNAcentral's name for it is "partial 16S ribosomal RNA". It matches the Rfam family "Bacterial small subunit ribosomal RNA", at positions 338 to 795 of the family's 1533-position model. The record is from RNAcentral.
CCUACGGGAGGCAGCAGUGGGGAAUAUUGGGCAAUGGGCGCAAGCCUGACCCAGCAACGUCGCGUGAAGGAAGAAGGCUUUCGGGUUGUAAACUCCUUUUGUCAGGGACGAAGCAAGCGAGGUACCUGACGAAUAAGCCACGGCUAACUACGUGCCAGCAGCCGCGGUCAUACGUAGGUGGCAAGCGUUAUCCGGAUUUACUGGGUGUAACGGGCGUGUAGGCGGGACUGCAAGUCAGAUGUGAAAACCACGGGCUCAAACUGUGGCCUGCAUUUGAAACUGGAGUUCUUGAGUACUGGAGAGGCAGACGGAAUGCCUAGUGUAGCGGUGAAAUGCGUAGAUAUUAGGAGGAACACCAGUGGCGAAGGCGGUCUGCUGGACAGCAACUGACGCUGAGGCGCGAAAGCGUGGGGAGCGAACAGGAUUAGAUACCCCUGUAGUC